UUAUUGGGCUCUUCUUCUUUGGAUACUUCUAGGUUCAAGUUGAGGCUUUUAGUGGGCUUAUUUUGAUAAGUUUUUAUCUAUUAUCGACCUGAAUUAGCAAACUAGUCAGUUUUCAGAACAUAUUUAGAAAAUUAGUCAUUUUACUAGUCACAAUUUAUAAAAAAGUCACUUUUCACUGUUUGAUUUGUACAUUUAGAUUUGUACAAUACUUUUAGUAUACAUAUGUAUAUAGAUAUACACAGCGUACACUUACAUCUGUAUACUAAAAGUGUUGUACAAAUUUAAAUGUACAAAUCAAACAGUGAAAAGUGACUACUUUGCAAAUUGUGAAUAGUAAAAUAACUAGUUUUCUAAAUAUGUUUGA
RNAcentral lists this small RNA (364 nucleotides) under Arabidopsis thaliana (thale cress). Its description in RNAcentral is "ATSL291360". Lineage: Eukaryota; Viridiplantae; Streptophyta; Magnoliopsida; Brassicales; Brassicaceae. The record is from RNAcentral.